RNAcentral lists this ribosomal RNA (236 nucleotides) under uncultured Staphylococcus sp. Its description in RNAcentral is "partial 16S ribosomal RNA". It matches the Rfam family "Bacterial small subunit ribosomal RNA", at positions 104 to 334 of the family's 1533-position model. The record is from RNAcentral. Lineage: Bacteria; Bacillati; Bacillota; Bacilli; Caryophanales; Staphylococcaceae.
GGGUGAGUAACACGUGGAUAACCUACCUAUAAGACUGGGAUAACUUCUGGAAACCGUAGCUAAUACCGGAUAAUAUAUUGAACCGCAUGGUUCAAUAGUGAAAGACGGUUUUGCUGUCACUUAUAGAUGGAUCCGCGCCGCAUUAGCUAGUUGGUAAGGUAACGGCUUACCAAGGCAACGAUGCGUAGCCGACCUGAGAGGGUGAUCGGCCACACUGGAACUGAGACACGGUCCAG